AACUAUCUCAGAAAAAAUACACGCUCGCGCACCAAUUUCAUCUCUCAUAUGAAUUCAGCACCAUCUUCAAAGGAAGCUUCUCUUUUGAGGGGAAUGUUGUCUGGCUCGAGGACUCUCUUUUGAUCCAUUUUUCCUCAAAUUAUAUCCAUAGAUCUAAGCAUAUGUGGAUAUAGAGAGUAGAUUGAUCAUCAGCUAGUGUCGUCGGACCAGGCUUCAUUCCCCCCAAUUAAUGCUUCCAACCUAACUUUUCAAGGCUUGCAUGUAAAGGU
This 269-nucleotide unclassified non-coding RNA is filed under the name Hevea brasiliensis (rubber tree). The stretch from base 84 to 227 matches the Rfam family "mir-166 microRNA precursor family". Rfam says of the family: This family represents the plant microRNA (miRNA) precursor mir-166. Animal miRNAs are transcribed as ~70nt precursors and subsequently processed by the Dicer enzyme to give a ~22nt product. The record is from RNAcentral. Lineage: Eukaryota; Viridiplantae; Streptophyta; Magnoliopsida; Malpighiales; Euphorbiaceae.